AAUUGAGACUGACAGACCCAAAUAACCAAUAGCAAGUACCUGAUGAGUGAGAGAAAAAAAAUCUAAAAAAGAAGGAACAAGACAAAACAACUCAUACUUUGACUGAACACAGGCAUCUCCUGUACAAGUUGUCUGACCAUCUUGUGGAGCAAACUACAGACAUUUUCCACUGACUUGAUACAGAAGAGUUUUCAAAAUGCCACUAAAACCCUUUGUUAAAGUAGUGAGUAACUUGUUGUCCAAAAAAAAUGCCAUCACCUCGGUUCCAAUGAGCUUUUUGUUAGUAGGUUUGCAGGCGCUGAUUAAUGUGCAUUUCUCAUGCCCUUGCAAAUAUGUUUGGAAUGUAACUUUAUCCAUUUUUGUCCUCGUUGUUCCUGCUUUUUUUGCUUUUGUCAUAAUGCUUAUGCUACUAAAACCUUGGAAAUAUAAGCAUAUAUACACAACCUGUAGCUGUUGUCAAAAAUCUAAAUGUGGAGGAAGUUCUAAGAAAAACGACAACAGAUGUCAAGAACAAGAGAAAAAAGGGCAGAAUGAAAGUGGAGAAACUCGGUCACAAACCAAGGAGAGCUGUGAAUGGGUUUUGUUGGCUUGUCUGAUUCCGCCUGUCGUGUGGAUCUGCAUAUAUUUCAUUGAUGGUGACUAUGUUGCAUGUGCUGCGUCGAAAUGGAAUGGACGGUAUGCCUGUGAUAAAGAACUGCAUCCGCUUUGUUUGAAUUGGUGCAAACCUAAUGAAGAAGAAAGUGAAAUCAAAUACUACGAAAAAACACUGGAAGCUAUCCGUGCAUCAAAGAUAUGCGGUUAUGUCAUUGCCUUGACCUGCUGCAUUGUAGCAAUGGGAUGUGUUGUACAUUGGAAGGACUGCUGCUGUUCAGCCACCAAAAGUCCAGAAAGUAAAGAUGAUGGAGAGGAAACGCAUGAUCUGUUGAGAAAGCCAGACAAGAAACAAGGAGAAGAACAUGAGAUGGACCAGUUUAAAGAUGAGGACUCAACAAAGAGACAUUCAAAUCAGGAUGAUAAAACAGAGUAGAUGGUAAAGUAAAGAUCAAAUCCAAUGGUCUGCUUGUUAAUUUGCUAUAUCUGAAACUCUUGCUCUCACUUUCUCAUAUUAUCCUUUAAAAUGUUAAUAGUUAUUGCAUACUUUGUGUUUGCUUGUAAUCUUGCUUGUAUCAUUGCAGAUUAAGUAAAACAUCAUUUAUGGUAUGAGUUUUGUAAAAUAGUAGUUUUAUUGAGGAUAUCUUUGAUUAUCCUGGCUUACUAUUUUGGUGUUUUGGUUUUGCCUUAGCAUGUAUAUAUUUUCUUUUUUCUAGUAUGCUUGGAUGUUUUGCUAUUCAGAGUAAAAGUGAAAGCAUUAACCA
Non-coding RNA from Danio rerio (zebrafish), 1355 nucleotides. Lineage: Eukaryota; Metazoa; Chordata; Actinopteri; Cypriniformes; Danionidae. The record is from RefSeq and is a predicted model, not a curated record.